Long non-coding RNA from Coregonus clupeaformis (lake whitefish), 1360 nucleotides. RefSeq lists it as uncharacterized. The record is from RefSeq and is a predicted model, not a curated record. NCBI's taxonomy places the organism in Eukaryota, Metazoa, Chordata, Actinopteri, Salmoniformes, Salmonidae. The transcript has 2 exons.
UGGCUAUAGUGGAUGAUACAUGCCCUCGUAGCUAUAGUGCCCAUGACUAGGAGCAAGGAAAACAAUGCAGACUACACGGAUUCUGAACUCUGUCAUUGUGCGCUGUACGGAACAAACGGAACAUUUGGAUUUCUGAAGCACACAAUGGAGCCCUAUGGAGUAUGAGAAAGAAAUGCAUAGAGAUGCCCCUCACCUUGAGACACAGCAAAGAGUAACGCUAUGGGUGCUGAGGAGAGGGAACCAUAGUGAUCCUAUGAAAUUACUAGCUGUAAUUCUAUGGAUGGAACAACAUGAAGUGGUUGGAGGGACAAGAAAGUGACUGCUUCUCUGUACUACUGUAACUGAGAGGAGCAUGAUGAAGCAAAACUAUUUGGCAGAGUGAGAGAGGAGGGGAGGGUUGAGCAGCAGAGGGAUGCAGAAGGGAGGGGAGGAGAAGCGAGGGAGGACAGGAUUGGAGGACAGCUGGAGGGAAGACAGAGGAGGUAAAGUCUUCAGAGACAUCUACGCAUAUAGAAUGCUCAGCACUGACCUAGCAUUCACUCUCCUUAGUCUCUCUCGUUCUAUCAUUCCUUCCCUCUCGUUCUCUGCCUUCACUAUAUCCCCUCCCUUUGAGAAGGUCAAACGGUGCAUCGAGCCUCACCUACCUGAGAUUUAAGAAUGUGACCUUAGCCAUCCCAGUAAGAACUCAGCGAGACAGAGAAAGGCCAGGAGGACAGAGCUGCUCCCCCUCCCUCCCUCACCAUCCCUCUCUCCCUGCCUCCCUCCCGUCCACCCUCUGCUUCUCCCCCUCCCGCUCUCUAUCACACACACACGCGCUCUCUUGCUCUUAGCAGCCGGUGAAUGUACAGUGCUCAGAGUAAGGCCUACAUGCGAGGACAUGGAUGAGAAUAGGGUGGGCCGUAGUUCUAAUUUUUGCACCUUCUUUUACUCUUUGUUUUGCAUGUGGGGAGUCAGUUGUUGACAGAAAUACUUGUAUUUCUUUGUUUUCUGCCACGGGGACCUUGACAAGCAUUAUCUCACCCCUGGUCAUUUUGUUGCUGCUGUGACCUCCUCCGGCACGCCCACAUUCCCGCUGUGACUCCGCCCACCAGGAACAGCAACAAAAGCAUGCAGCAGAGAGGCAACAGCCAAUUAGGAUGGGUUACAUCAAGUUUAUGGAAAUCUCCUGGGAAUCUCCUGUGCUGCCCUGGGAAAUCAAGGUGUAAAGACAAAAGAUAAUCUGUCAAUCUGAUUUGAAUAGCUCAACUCCCUUUUCAGCAUGUACACAUAAAAUUUUUUUGUACAUAUAAUUGUAUGUAAUACUUGCUUAGGAAGUCCAACUGUUAUCUUUUUAAAAUAAAGUAUGUACCUGAUCUCUCCA